This 204-nucleotide non-coding RNA is filed under the name uncultured Pleomorphomonas sp. Lineage: Bacteria; Pseudomonadati; Pseudomonadota; Alphaproteobacteria; Hyphomicrobiales; Pleomorphomonadaceae. The record is from RNAcentral.
CAAAUGGCCGGGCGCGACGGUCCCUCCUCUCUGAGGAGGGCGAAAAGGGAACGCGGAAUCGGGCAAUUCCCGAAAGCCGCGGCUGCCCCCGCAACUGUGAGCGGCGAGCCGGAUGCUGAGCGUGCCACUGGUCGGAAGACCGGGAAGGCCGUAUCCGGCGACGAACCGCGAGCCAGGAGACCUGCCGCCGCGCACGGAUGUCGG